GCGUGCCCUAUACAUGNCAGUCGAGCGAAUGGAUUAAGAGCUUGCUCUUAUGAAGUUAGCGGCGGACGGGUGAGUAACACGUGGGUAACCUGCCCAUAAGACUGGGAUAACUCCGGGAAACCGGGGCUAAUACCGGAUAACAUUUUGAACCGCAUGGUUCGAAAUUGAAAGGCGGCUUCGGCUGUCACUUAUGGAUGGACCCGCGUCCCAUUAGCUAGUCGGUGAGGAUACGGCUCACCAAGGCAAUGAUUCCUACCCUACCUGAGAGGGUGAUCCGCCAC
RNAcentral lists this ribosomal RNA (281 nucleotides) under Bacillus cereus. Its description in RNAcentral is "partial 16S ribosomal RNA". It matches the Rfam family "Bacterial small subunit ribosomal RNA", at positions 42 to 311 of the family's 1533-position model. The record is from RNAcentral. Lineage: Bacteria; Bacillati; Bacillota; Bacilli; Caryophanales; Bacillaceae.